This 628-nucleotide ribosomal RNA is filed under the name Leotiomycetes sp. genotype 26. RNAcentral's name for it is "eukaryotic LSU rRNA". The stretch from base 172 to 325 matches the Rfam family "5.8S ribosomal RNA". Lineage: Eukaryota; Fungi; Ascomycota; Leotiomycetes. The record is from RNAcentral.
GGAUCAUUACAGAGCAUCAUGCCCUUCGGGGUAGAUCUCCCACCCUGUGUCUUAUGUACCCUUUGUUGCUUUGGCGGGCCGCCCUCGGCCACCGGCUCCGGCUGGUGCGUGCCCGCCAGAGGAAACCAAACUCUGAAUGUUAGUGUCGUCUGAGUACUAUAUAAUAGUUAAAACUUUCAACAACGGAUCUCUUGGUUCUGGCAUCGAUGAAGAACGCAGCGAAAUGCGAUAAGUAAUGUGAAUUGCAGAAUUCAGUGAAUCAUCGAAUCUUUGAACGCACAUUGCGCCCGCCGGUAUUCCGGCGGGCAUGCCUGUUCGAGCGUCAUUACAACCCUCAAGCUCUGCUUGGCCUUGGGCGUCACCGGCAACGGUGGGCCUCAAACCCAGUGGCGGUGCCGUCUGGCUCUAAGCGUAGUAAUUCUUCUCGCUAUAGGUGCCCGGCGGAUGCUUGCCAGCAACCCCCAACUUCUUAAGGUUGACCUCGGAUCAGGUAGGGAUACCCGCUGAACUUAAGCAUAUCAAUAAGCGGAGGAAAAGAAACCAACAGGGAUUACCUCAGUAACGGCGAGUGAAGCGGUAACAGCUCAAAUUUGAAAUCUGGGCCUUUCAGGCUCCGAGUUGUAAUUUG